Molecule: long non-coding RNA, 2457 nt
Organism: Triticum aestivum (bread wheat)
Lineage: Eukaryota; Viridiplantae; Streptophyta; Magnoliopsida; Poales; Poaceae
Exons: 6
Source: RefSeq, a predicted model, not a curated record
UCUCUCCCUUUCUCUGCUCUGCGCCGCCUCACCUCUCUCUAGCCACGCCGCGAAUCUGGAUCGACGGCGACGAGCGACGCCGCGCUUCCUCGCCAACUCGGCACCGACGACGACGGGCGGCGUGACCGUUCCUCACCACAUCAGACGUAGACGGACACGCCUCCCCUGGUUUUUCGCGGAACGUGGCGAGCCGGAGCAGACACCUACCGUCGCAACAAUGGACAAGCAAAAGGGGAAGGCGAGUGGGAAGGAGAAGGAGAAAGAGAGGACGUUGGACUCCAUUAUGAAGAGAAAGUUGCCGGUCUCGGGGAUGCAGAAGGGGAAUGGGAAGGGCAAUGCAGCAGCUACUACACGGCUACCGAUGAAGCUGACAAAUGAUUCCAGCAAUGUCCCAAUCGCUGAGUUGUUGUAUAGGGUAAAAAAGAAACCUCCGCCUCGACGUCUCCCUGACCCCACCGGCGCUGGCGUGCGUGCCGGAAUCGCCGUUGCCUCCGGCUCCGCAAACUACUAUGAGAGGGAGGCUACAUCUUCGCAGGCAAUGGAGCAUGAUAAGCAAGCGGAGGAGGAUCAUGAAGAGGUGGAAGAGGAUGAGGAGGAGGACGAGGAAGAGCAAGAUACUUUGUUUAAGGUGCCGCCUGGGGUUGGUGACAAAUCAGAUUCAGAUGGGUUGGUGACAAAUCAGAUUCAGCCAAGAACAAUUGCAACACAAAUACCUCGAUGCCACUUAUGGAUUGUGACUUUCAGUCCUUCUUAUCAGCCACUUCAUCAACACCAUCAAAAAGUGAGCUUAGAAACUAUCUAGAUGACUUGAAUGAGGCAAUGGAUCCUAUGUUCAAUCUUCUUGAUUGGUGGAGGGUGAAUGCACCUAGAUACCCCGUAUUGGCAAUGAUGGCAAAGAGGUUCUUGACUGUCCAGGCAGGAAUCAACUUUCAGCACGGGUGAAAGAGUUUUAGAUGACUACAGGAGUUCUUUGAAACCAGAAAUGGUGGAAGCCUUGGUGUGCGGUGCUAGUUAUAUCAAAGGUUAUCACAAGGACUUCAAUGUGGUGGAGAGGGAUGAAGAUGAGGAUGACGAUGUUGAGAAUAUCAAGUUGCCCAAGAUUGUUGAUGUGGGGGGUGACAACAAUUGAUAUUCGCCAUGUGGGUGUUGCUCUUGCUAUUUUGAAGAUGGAUGUCUACAUGAUCUUCUCAUGUGGAUUGUUGAGGUCAACGUGAUCAUCUCGUGCCAUUUCUUUUGUUGUGAUAAACUUCGAAUUAUGUGUGCUGUUGUGAUGAACUAUGGACCUUGAAUGAUGUUGUGAUGAACCAUGCACUUUCAACAAUGUUGUUGUGAACUUGUGAUGAACUAUGAACUUUGUAUUAUGUGGUUUUCACUAGUCAUUGUUUGGCUGUCAACAUUUCCUCAGUUUUAUGUCAAAGUGGUAAGUGUUAUGCUAUGCAAAAUUUCCUUGUUUGGCUGUCAAUAUUUGAUGUUUUCCUGUGUAAAGUUCAGUUGAAGUGCUGUCCAAAAUUCAAUAGAAAUGCUGCCCAAUUCUUUCUCUCAUAUGUGUUCCAUUGUUACAAUUUUGUAGAAGAAUUCAUAUAAGAACAUUAUUUUUCAUUACUAUGACCAUUUCUUAAAACAAUAGACUGCUGAUUGUUCAUUUUUAGUAGUAUAAAUUGUUUGUUUUUCAAAAUAUAGGUUUAAUUGCCGCAAAAAAUCAAGUAUAUACACUAUAUACAGAGGUAUGUACAAUUAAAUGGUUCUGGGAGAAGCUGACUUAUGAGCCGGCUCGGUCUGAGCCGAGCCAUAGCCAAAGCGAGCCAAGCCGGUUGAAGUAGGCUCGUUGGCUGAGCGAGCCGAGCCGAGCCGAGCCGCUCCAGAGCGAGCCAAAGCCAGGCUCGGAUCAAGCUCGGCUCGGCUCGGCUCGUGUCCAGCGACCGCAAGCACGAGGAGCCGGUCGGGGGUCCCUUUAGCGAGUCCAUGGAGCGGUCCAAGAGGCUCGCAUCCAUGUCAUCGGCCAUGGACUUCGGCGGGGUCUCGGAGCUCUCGAACGCCCUGACCAACAACAAAUGCGAGUUCCGCUGCCUUCAGACGAGCCUCCGGAAGGUGACGCUGCAGUUCAAGGCCAAGGAGGUGAACUGCUUCCCGGCGCAGCUCGCCAAGUUCCUCGUGGAGAACGCCAUGGUGCUUGAGGAGAUGCACGUCGACGACGGGAGCCAAUUCUGGUCGGACCACCUCUGUCACAAGGUUGCGAGAUGGAGAGACGAGUCUUUCCGCCUGAAGAACCUGCCGGACGCGGCCGCGGGGUUUCGGGUGUGCCAGCUGCAGCUGGAUAAUCCAGAGGGAGGUUCUAAUCAGGGGCGUGGCGGCAAGCCAGGGGACGAGUCUAAUGGAGAACAAUGUUAUGACUCCUAUUAGGAUGGUGCGUUCUUGAAUUGUACAUAAUGAUUACCGACCAUCGUAGCUGUUUUUUCA